UGAGGAAUAUUGGACAAUGGGCGCAAGCCUGAUCCAGCCAUGCCGCGUGCAGGAAGAAGCAUCUAUGGUGUGUAAACUGCUUUUGUACGGGAAGAAACACUCCUACGUGUAGGAGCUUGACGGUACCGUAAGAAUAAGGAUCGGCUAACUCCGUGCCAGCAGCCGCGGUAAUACGGAGGAUCCAAGCGUUAUCCGGAAUCAUUGGGUUUAAAGGGUCCGUAGGCGGGUCUGUAAGUCAGUGGUGAAAUCUCCCCGCUCAACGGGGAAACUGCCAUUGAUACUGCUAGACUUGAAUUAUUAGGAAAUAACUAGAAUAUGUAGUGUAGCGGUGAAAUGCUUAGAUAUUACAUGGAAUACCAAUUGCGAAGGCAGGUUACUACUAAUGGAUUGACGCUGAUGGACGAAAGCGUGGGGAGCGAACA
RNAcentral lists this ribosomal RNA (422 nucleotides) under uncultured bacterium. RNAcentral describes it as "bacterial SSU rRNA". It matches the Rfam family "Bacterial small subunit ribosomal RNA", at positions 355 to 774 of the family's 1533-position model. The record is from RNAcentral.